CCUCUUCUCUCCCCUCUAUUUUAAAGAGCCUACACAUUGCUCUUAACUAAUUGUUCUUAAUAAUGAUUUCAUUCCCUUCCACUCAUCCAUAACUUUUCCCUCUCAGUCUCUUUUGGUUCAGAUAUGAAUAAAAUAUAAAAUAAAGAAUGAGUAUAAAGAGUAUUGCCGGAGUUAGCAUGUUUCGGUCCUCUUCCCCAUUACUUAGAAAAAGUGAGCCAUCGAUUCAGGUAUAAGAUACUAUCAUUACAGCCGGACAAUUAGACAUCCAACCCGUAAUCGCACAUUGAGUUCUUACAGUAACCAGGCUAUCAGUGUCACGAUCUCCAUAGUACGCUUCAUGUUCAUGGUGUCCAUGUUCAUCCCUAAUAUGAGAAAAAGAUACCAUAUUACAAGAUAAUUAUAAGAUGUGAAACAGAAUGUGCCAACAUAGUUAAAGAAAUUAAAGAAAUUAACAAAAACUACAAAGCGGCAUACUGAAAUUAAAAUAUAUUUACACAUAGCAGACUUGCAAUCUGGAAAUGUAUGUACCUGACAUCACUUCCUUUACGGAAUAUCCGAAUGGAAGGAUAGCCUUGUAUGUGAUUCCUGAAAAUCCACAACCAAAUUUUUUUUGCUGAAACCACAUUGACUCUAAAAUAUUGGCAAGGUCAUUAAUUUACAGGAUCUAAAGUCAUGUAUGUUCUAUAUGAACUUAUGCAAUACACCUAUGUUUUUCUUGGUUCAAGCUGCAGAAGCAACUCAAACAGUAUUGAACAAACUGUAAUAUCCCUUCUGUCUGCAGGGAUCCCGUCAGAUUAAGUUCUCCUUUUAUAUGGCAAUGGACUUUGUGUCUUUUGAUGAGCACAGGAAAUCCCCCUGUAUUGAGAUCAUCACGAAACACAUGUUUCUGGGUGUUCACCGGCAUGACCAAUAAAGGAUACUUUUAAUGUUUAACUGAAGCGAAGGUUCCGGUGUACAGAUAAAAUCAUUUAAGUAUGAGUAGAACUAGAUUAAUGACCUGCUGUAAUUUCAUUGAUGCCAUUAUGAUACCUAGAGUAUACAAUAUUUCUUCAUAAAUCACAUAUUCAACAAAAAGUAAAAAAUUAUUAGAUAGAAAAGUUAUGGAGAUAUCUUAGCCAAAAGAGUUUUCUUCUGUUUGCAGAUCACUUGAACAAACAAAAUAAUUACAAAGGAAGGGUAUCCUACAAAGCAGCAUAUAUGAUCUAGAGUAUCCAAUAACAUCAGUCAUUUAUUAAAGAGAAUCAGAAUGAAAUGUCACUUGAUAGACAAAUUUGCAAACAGAAAUUCAGUUACUUUCCAUAAUAUCUAUAAAUUAUAGAGAUACCUUCUACACAACUCAUUUUCUUCCGUGCAGUCAACCUUUCCCAAAAGAAUCCGUCCAUCCAUUUCUGGGUCAUAUCUGAAAACAAUUUGAUUACGAGUUCAACUAGUUAGCAUACUUCAUGCUAUAUAGAGAGCAGAGCUAAGCUACAUGCAACUAUUAAGCAUGGAUUAAAAAUUAAAAUAGUUAAUACACCUUUCCCUCAUGAUUUUUGCAGCUUUCUCCCAUGAAGGUCUCUGAAACAAGAAAAAUGAGAGGUAGGAUACAUUUAGAGAUGUAAAAUGAGUUCAUAAUUUAUUUUUUACUAAACAAGAGCUUAAAUUACAGAAGUAGACAGCUAUAAAACUGAUAGAUAAUUGGAUAUAAGCAAUAAAAGUGAAAACAAGACAGAUGAAGAUUGAAUAGAGCGAAAUUCCCAGUAAAAUAGCACCAAAAGGCUCUUGCUCUUGCUCUAGCAUUAUCACACUCACACAGGUGUCCCAGGUUUAUGCCUUGUCCUAGGCAAGGCAAGAUGGGGGUUAGUGGGUUCAAUUAGCCAAAAAAAAAAAGAAGCAAGCAGACUAUAACAUCCUUGAUUGCUCUUGAAACCAUAUCUGAAUGUCAAGUAAAAUAGAACUUUACAUGAUAGUAACACUCCUCUCAGGACUCAGGAUACCCAAAUUCUAAAGAGACUGCAAUUAGUUCUACAUCACGGUUUUCCCUUCUUGCAUCAAUUCAGGAAAAAUAAAAUAGAAGCAUAAAAUACUGCAUAAUAACCUGAAAGUGAGGAUUAAGAGCAUCUCUAAGAGGCUCUCUACAUAGGCUCUUAAGUUGAAAAUUAGAGAGCCAUGGUUCACAUAUAGCUCCAAGAGACUUUUAGAGGCUCUUUAUAAACUUAAAAGCCUCUUCUCUCCCCUCUAUUUUAAAGAGCCUACACAUUGCUCUUAACUAAUUGUUCUUAAUAAUGAUUUCAUUCCCUUCCACUCAUCCAUAACUUUUCCCUCUCAGUCUCUUUUGGUUCAGAUAUGAAUAAAAUAUAAAAUAAAGAAUGAGUAUAAAGAGUAUUGCCGGAGUUAGCAUGUUUCGGUCCUCUUCCCCAUUACUUAGAAAAAGUGAGCCAUCGAUUCAGGUAUAAGAUACUAUCAUUACAGCCGGACAAUUAGACAUCCAACCCGUAAUCGCAACGACCCAAUUGCAAAAGCGGAGCUCUACCAACUGAGCUAUAUCAACCCGAGCCAAGUGGAGCAUGCAUGGACAAUCUUAAUAAUGUACUAACUUGCUAGGAGCCAUAUUAUUUAUAUUAUAUUUAGGAACCAACUAAGGGACUCUUACA
RNAcentral lists this long non-coding RNA (2633 nucleotides) under Daucus carota (carrot). RNAcentral describes it as "long non-coding RNA (DCAR_LNC001916)". The record is from RNAcentral. Lineage: Eukaryota; Viridiplantae; Streptophyta; Magnoliopsida; Apiales; Apiaceae.